RNAcentral lists this ribosomal RNA (465 nucleotides) under uncultured bacterium. RNAcentral's name for it is "partial 16S ribosomal RNA". It matches the Rfam family "Bacterial small subunit ribosomal RNA", at positions 339 to 795 of the family's 1533-position model. The record is from RNAcentral.
CUACGGGGUGCAGCAGUGGGGAAUAUUGGACAAUGGGGGAAACCCUGAUCCAGCAAUGCCGCGUGUGUGAAGAAGGCCUGCGGGUUGUAAAGCACUUUCGGUUGGGAGGACUGCUUCUAGCACUAAUAUUGUUGGAAGUUGACGUUACCUUCAGAAGAAGCACCGGCUAACUCCGUGCCAGCAGCCGCGGUAAUACGGAGGGUGCACGCGUUAAUCGGAAUUACUGGGCGUAAAGCGCGCGUAGGCGGCUAGAUCAGUCGGGUGUGAAAGCCCCGGGCUUAACCUGGGAACUGCAUCCGAUACUGUCUAGCUUGAGUACAGGAGAGGAGAGUGGAAUUCCACAUGUAUCGGUGAAAUGCGUAGAUAUGUGGAGGAACACCAAUGGCGAAGGCAGCUCUCUGGCCUGAUACUGACGCUGAGGUGCGAAAGCGUGGGGAGCAAACAGGAUUAGAUACCCGUGUAGUC